This 550-nucleotide long non-coding RNA is filed under the name Ananas comosus (pineapple). RNAcentral describes it as "long non-coding RNA (ACOM_LNC028478)". Lineage: Eukaryota; Viridiplantae; Streptophyta; Magnoliopsida; Poales; Bromeliaceae. The record is from RNAcentral.
UUUGAGAUAAAAGUAUUAUUUUAUUAUAAAAUUAUUUCAGAUUGUGCUUUAUUUUAUUUUGUAUAAUAUGAUUGACUUGAAAUAAAUCUUUUUCAUUUUUUUUCCUCAGUGGAAUUAGAGAUGUCAACGGAUUGAGUUCGAAAUAGAUUUUCAAAAUUCUAAAUCUAAAUACGAACUCGCAUCCAAACCUAACAAUCAACCCGAACAAGAAGCCGACAGAUUUUGAAAAUCUAUAACCAAAGUAAUGAAACCAAAGUCCAAAAUUCGAAGAUGGACCUAAAAAUCUUGAACCCGAAAUAAUUAUAAUUUUUAUAAUAUUUCAAAAUAUAUUAUAUUAAGGCUAAAUUAUAUAAAACUUUCUGUCAAAACUCGAUUUUUCACUUUUCUUUUUUGUCAUUUAAAACCCUACAUUUUGCUCUUGUCAUUUAAAACCCUACAUUUUGCCUCCUUGUAAAAUGAAAAAUGUUCACUUCGCCCCCUGCUGCUAGUAAUUCGUUAGGGUUCCGUUUAUAAAAUAUUAUUAUAUAUUUUUUUAUGCCAAAAAUGCUCU